RNAcentral lists this long non-coding RNA (925 nucleotides) under Salvia miltiorrhiza (redroot sage). RNAcentral describes it as "long non-coding RNA (SMIL_LNC000350)". Lineage: Eukaryota; Viridiplantae; Streptophyta; Magnoliopsida; Lamiales; Lamiaceae. The record is from RNAcentral.
AAAUCCUUUUCAAACUUAUUCUCCUUGGCGGUGAAUAAGUUUGGGGGGAUGUGUCUUUGUGGGUGCAUUGUUUCUUUUUAGUUGUUUUUGUUUGUUUUGUUGUUGAGUUCGUUAGUCUUGCUUUGGUGGUUUCUCUGUGAUGAUACCUUGGUGGAGAUAUGAGUUGUGUAGGGAUUUGGAUGGAUAACUGGCUUAUGAUGAUUUCUGUUUAAAACUUGUGAAAUUGCAUGCGUUUGUGUUGAUAUUGUUGUGAUUGAGCAUGAUUGAUGAAUGAUAAGCAUGGUCUCUUGUUGUUGCAAUCAAUGAAAUAAGCUGUGAGGAUUUGAACCUUGACUGUCAUUAUUUUUACAGUCUUAUUUCUGUUUCUUGAGUGAUUGUUCGAGCUUGCAUGUGUCUCACUAGAACUUGUCUUGGUUUCUCCCUCGAGGCCACAUAGUGUGCUUAAUAACUUUGAGAUGAUAGAAGGCCGUCUUUGCUUGCCUAUUUAUCCCUUAUUUGUCCUAUAUCUUUAUAUGAUCCUAGUUCACCCCCUUUGAACCUUAUUUUUCCAUAUUCUUUGAUUUAGCUAUGGGUGGGAGCUUGGAGAUUAUUUGAUAGGAGAUAAUUGGGUUGUGGAGAUAAAUGAUCAUGAGUUAUGUUUUGUGGUUUUAAAUUGAAAAUCCUAGUACCCUACAAGUUGUUGAAAGAAAAAAAAAGAAAAAAGAAAAAAAAAACAUGGUGAAAAAAAAAGAGAAAAGAAUUGGAAAAAAAUGGGUACAUAGGAUGCACUAGGGAGACAUAAUGUUAUGAGAAAUAAUUGUUGAGUUGUGAUGAUUUUCGUAUUGAAAAAUUUGGUUUUGCUGAAGGUGGAGGAUAGAAUUGAGUAAGAACGCUAUAAGGUUGGUGAUUGUGCUACAUUGAGAAUUAUCUUUUAGUCACUUAGCCA